This 33-nucleotide non-coding RNA is filed under the name unclassified sequences. RNAcentral describes it as "S4-Flavobacteria ribosomal protein leader". It matches the Rfam family "S4-Flavobacteria ribosomal protein leader". The record is from RNAcentral.
UUUUGUCGAAGGAUAGACCUUAAUUCACAAAUA